This 253-nucleotide ribosomal RNA is filed under the name uncultured bacterium. RNAcentral describes it as "partial 16S ribosomal RNA". It matches the Rfam family "Bacterial small subunit ribosomal RNA", at positions 524 to 776 of the family's 1533-position model. The record is from RNAcentral.
UACGUAGGGUGCGAGCGUUGUCCGGAAUUAUUGGGCGUAAAGGGCUCGUAGGCGGUUUGUCGCGUCGGGAGUGAAAUCAUCUGGCUUAACUGGGUGCUUGCUUUCGAUACGGGCAGACUAGAGGUAUGCAGGGGAGAACGGAAUUCCUGGUGUAGCGGUGAAAUGCGUAGAUAUCUGGAGGAACACCGGUGGCGAAGGCGGCAUCCUGGACCGGCAUUGACGCUGAGGCGCGAAAGCCAGGGGAGCAAACGGG